ACUUGUUUCUCUAUGUGGCAAGGCCCUGCGUGUGACUGCGUUUGUGCGUGUCUGUGAGCGCGGUGUGCUGGAAACUGCGUGCUUGGGUCUGUGGCAGGCUGAAUGGAGGAGGGCGGAGGGAGUCCAUGGCUAUGUUUGUACUUGUCUGUGAGCCCGGGGUCAGAUGCGCUCCAUGUGCUACCUCCUGUGUGCACAGGUGGCCGCUGUGUCCAACCGUGUCUUUGUGUGUUUCGGGUCGCCUGAAUGUGCACAGGCGGAGGACAUGGAGGGGGGGAUUUGAGUGCGUGCCUGUGCAGGCCCCUUUAACGUGGCAAGUCUAAGAAAUGUCGGCCUUCUUGGCAGCGAAUCUGGGCUUGGUUCCACUGGGGGCGUCUGCAGAGAGGGGCUCUUAGAAGGGACGUGCUUGAGCGAGAGAGACAGGAAGGGAAGGGGGGGCCAGCCCCAGCUCGGGGUUUCCAGGAGGGAAAGCCAGACGUUGGAACUUGUCAACGCUACCUCCUUCCCUGCCCCCACCUUCCACUGCUGCCUCCCCUCCUGGCGCCUGAAGGCUGCUGGCAGACGGACAGACAGACAGACAGUGCACACAUAGACUGGCUCAUAGGCACAGAGCCCAAACCUGAGCCCCUAAAUGCACAAGCCUGGACACUGAGGUCCAGAGAGGGCAAAGGAAGUAGCUGAGUCUCGGAGGAGCACAUGUGUUUAUGCAUGUUGGGGGCAGGGGGUGCUGUUGGCCUCUGGUGCUUCAACCCAGACUGGAGCCCAGGCCUAGGGCGGGGAAGAGGCUGCGGAGAGCCUCUGGGGAGGGGCUUUUAUGGCUCUAACCAGGCCCUCAAGGCCCCCAGCUCCUCUCCCUGUUUAUACAACUGCUGCAGUGUCUUUGAGAGUCCUGUUGCCUCAAAAAAACACCUACCGCAACUCCCUGUUUGUACAGAGGCAGAAAAGACCCAGAGAGGAGCAGCAGCUGAUCCAGGGUCACACAGCAGAACCAGGACUGGAAUCCAGGGCUCCUUCUCCUAGCUGUGCAUGUUGGCCCAUGGGCCACUUAGUCUUAUCUUUCCCUUGGUCCAUUUAUCUUUUCUUCCUCCCAGGUCUUCGGGAUAUGACAACGACCUCUUUUUUGUGUUGCUUUUGCUGCCCAAGUGAUAUGUCUGUCUGCCUGUUAGUCCAUCUGUUUGUCACAGGGCUUCAAUACCCUCUGGCAGAAUAUGGAAGAGAAGAGGGCUUGGUUUUUGGCCAAGGGCUAUUGGAGAGAUAGGGGUGGGAUGGGGAGACAGAGAAACAGAACGAAAGGAAUUUGAGACGAGAGGAAGGAGGAGAGAAGAGCAAGGGGAGGGCACUGGCGGCAGAGCUGAGAAGCCCAGGCUGCCCUUUACCUCCACCUCCAGCCUGGGCACAGGGGCGAGCUCUGAGUUCAGAGACUCUGAGUCCUGUCUCUUGGGGCCUUGGGGAGGGGACCCCAGGGCUCCUGUAGGGUCUGGGCCCAACCCCCAAACCCUGGGGGCAGCUGGGUUGGAGUCCUGGGGUCAGUAUUCGGGGUGCAGGUGUGGGGUGCAGUGACCGAACUGCCCUCAUGGGAAAAGGAGGGAGGGGAUUGCAGGUACCUAGGGGGCAUGAACCUGGGCAUGCGUUGACUUAGUGUGUGUGGUCUCUUUGCAGCAGGGUUGUUGAGAGUGUGCGUGAGGUUGCGAGUAUGCUAGGACUCUGUGUGGACACCUAUGAACAUACAUGACCCAGUGGCAGACAAGCUGGGAUUUCAGUGGGGAGGGGAAGGACUGCAGGAAUGUGUGUCUAUGACCGGCAGGGAGUGGUUGUCUAUGUGUGGAAGGAUUUGUGUGAACCUGCCUUACAUGUUCUUAGGGAGGCUGUAUCCUGUGUAUGUAGGCAGGUGAACUGUAUAGCUCUGUACAAUUGUGUGUGUUGUGUGUGUGUGUGUGUGUGUGUGUCUGGAUGAAUAUGUAUCAUGUGUUUGAAUUGCUUAAGUAUUUACAUGUUAAAUGUGUAACUGCAUAUAUGUGUGGAUGUGUAUACAUGUUUGUAAUUGUCUUGAGGUAUAUGUGUGGAGUUACCUGUAUGAGUCUUGCCUGUAGGUUGUGUGUGCAGUUGUGUGUAUUUGUGGAGCAGUGAAUAUUAGGAAGCUGUUCACAUGUGCGGCUGUGUAUUUUGGGGGAUUAGGUUAUAUGUGUGGUUCUUUUUGGAUGGAGUUUCACUCUUGUCACCCAGGCUGGAGUGUAGUGUCAGGAUCCCGGCUCACUGCAACCUCUGCCUCCUGAGUUCAAGCAGUUCUCGUGCCUCAGCCUCCCGAGUAGCUGGGAUCACAGGCGUGUGCCACCACGCCUGGCUAAUUUUUGUAUUUUUAGUAGAGACGGGGUUUUGCCAUGUUGCCCAGGCUGGUCUUGAACUCCUGGCCUCAAGUGAUCUGUCCACCUCGACCUCCCAAAGGGCUGCGAUCACAGGUGCGAGCCACCGUGCCUGGCCUAUAUUUGUGGUUCUUAAGGCUAUACUUUAUUUUUUAUUUUUUGUUUAUUGUCAAACUUCCCCUGUCAGAAUGUAAACUCUAUUAGGACUGAAAUUUUUAUCUAUUUUGCUAACUAUUUUGCUAAUCUAUUCCUAGUGUCCAGAAUAGGGCCCAACACUUAGUAGGCACUGUAUACAUAUUUCUCCAAUGAAUGAUGAAUGAAAGUGUGCAUGCUUGGCAGGGUGUGGGAAGUGUGUUAGGUGUAUGAAUCGUGCGUGUGUGUCUGGGUGUGUGAAUGGAUAAAUUUUUUGUGUCUUGAGUGUGUGAGGUUUCUAGCAUAAGUGGCCUAUGAACCAAGUACGUGCACAGGUGCAUGUGUGUCUAGGCGUGUGACUGUGUACCUGAAGCUGGGCCACGUCUGUGAGCAUUGCACACAACUGUGUGUGUGCACAGUUGUGUGUGCUUGUACAUGGGGGUGGGAAGGCGCUGUCGGCUUCUCCCAGCCUUCAGCACUCACUCAGCUUCACCCCAGGUCGCCUGCUGCGAAAUGUCAGUGGCAGAGAAGCUAAAAAUAUCUGCUCUCCUCCUUCUGCUCACUGCUUGGGCUGAUGGGACUGUGGGGCCCCAGCCGGCCCCUUGGGCCCUGCGGGGAGGAGGAACUGCUGGAUGAGGGGGCGGGGUACAGGGGAAGGAAGGGAGGCCCUCCUCCGUACACACCCUUCCCCCUUUCCUCUUGGGCUCCAAAGCCAGGCUUCAGGCUCACCUCUUUCAGGAAGCCCUCAAGAACCCCCCAGGAGCUGUGUGUGUCUGUGUGUCUGUCUACCUGGCAAGGAGAUAUGGCCCCCAUCAGACUGGAGCUCCACAGAGCAGGUCUGUGCCUCUUCUGCCCAUCCAGGGACUCCAGGGGACAGAGCUCUGUCUCCUUCAGACCAGGGGCUCCCAGGGAAAAGGCUGGUGCUGUCUCCUCCCUAAGCCUGAGGGUUACGGAUGCAGCCCAGGCCAGACAGGGCUUCACUGGGCUCUGGUUCUGGGGCCACUAGGGCCCUCUGACCCCAGGGCAGAUCUGCUGUGAUGAUGCGCUUGUGGGUAGGGAGGAGUCUCAGCUCUGCCCACACCACACCCUAGGCUGGCACGUGUUUGUGCUAUGGGUACUUGUGUGGGUGCAGGUGGGACAUGUCAGGGCCCGUGGUCCUCUGGGGACCUGUGCCUCUCCACAUGUCGGGCUCCUGCCUGCAUCAGUGGUGUCAGCGACUGCCUGCCUUGGGCACUGUGGUCAAUCAGUACAAGUUGAGUGUAUUGUAUGUUUCUCUGUGUUCUUUUUUUUUUUUUUUGGGGGGGGGACGGAGUCUCUCUCUGACACCUCCUGAGUAGCUGGGACUACAGGCAUGUGCCACCACACCCGGCUAAUUUUUUGUAUUUUUAGUAGCAAGAGGGUUUCAUCAUGUUAGCCAGGAUGGUCUCGAUCUCCUGACCUCAGGUGAUCUGCCCGCCUCGGCCUCCCAAAGUGCUGGGAUUACAGGCGUGAGCCACCACACCCGACCUUCUCUGUGUUCUUGUGUGUGCACAUGGAUGACUGUGUAUGUGGGUUUCUGCCUUUCAUUGUGCAGGCCUGCAGAUACUAGCAGGGAUGGACUCUGCAUUCAUGUGGGAGUUGCUGAUGUCACCAUGGGGGGUUUCUGUUUGUGUGUCAGUGUGCUCGGGUGUGUGUCUCUGUCAGAAGGUCAGUGCCUGUUUGUUCUGUGUAUGGAGGUGUAUGUGGGUGCAUCUGUGUGUCAGUGUUUCAAUUACCAUGUUUCUGUGUGUCUGUGUGUCUGUCUUCCUGGUUGUCAUUAUGUCUGCGGUACCUCCGUGCCUGUGUUGCGUGCCUAGGUCAGUUUGAUUUUGCAGGUCUGUAGGGCCACGUGUCCCUCUGUAUGUUGGUGUUUUCCAUGUGGGUUGGAAUCUGCCUCUGCUUUUCCUAAUCUCCCACCAUUUCUGUGUGGAAGGCCUCAGGCAUUGUGUGUGUGUGUGUGUGUGUGUGUAUGUGUGUGUGUGUUCAGCAACUUUCCCCAGCCCCAAAGCCUGCAACCCUGAGAUCUGCUCUCCCACUCUUUCUCCGUUGGACUUCAGGUGGGAGCUGAAGCAAAGAGGGCAGGCAGGCAGGGAGCCCACGACAGCCGGGGGCCGGGGCCAGGCUGCCACGAGGGCCCUACCUCAGCUUUCCUCCAAGCAAGCGCUAAGCCAGAGCCUCGGUUACAUGUAAACACCAGCUGUGUCAAGACGGCGCAGCUUCUUCUAGGUCAACAGACAGCUGUGGGGUUGCUAGGCAACCGCCUGGCUCCCCCCUCCAUUAGGCCCCCUCCCACUGCCUCUACCUGCAAACCCUCUGCUGGCUCCCCCCACGCCAGGAUAGGCCUCACCCCUCCGCGCCAAUUAACACAGCGGGACUGAGGGGGUAGGGGGUCAGGGCAGCUCCGGGACUGGAAUCAAGAUGGAGUCUGGAUCUGUCACGCAGGCUGGAGUGUAGUCGCGCGAUCUCAGCUCACUGCAACCUGUGCCUCCCAGGUCAAGCGAUUCUCCUGCCUCGGCCUCCCAAGGAACUGGAACCACAGGCGCGUGCCACCGCGCCCAAGGAUUUUCACUUUUAACUGUACAGUGAAGCACAGACUUCUGAGCCAGACUGCUUGGUCUGAACUCUGGUGUCACCACUUAGUAAGUUCUGGUUUGAAUGUACUCACUGAGUGGUCUUCAUAAAUUACCUCUCUGCA
This is a long non-coding RNA of Pan troglodytes (chimpanzee), 5202 nucleotides long. RefSeq lists it as uncharacterized. Lineage: Eukaryota; Metazoa; Chordata; Mammalia; Primates; Hominidae. The record is from RefSeq and is a predicted model, not a curated record. The transcript has 2 exons.